RNAcentral lists this ribosomal RNA (253 nucleotides) under uncultured bacterium. Its description in RNAcentral is "partial 16S ribosomal RNA". It matches the Rfam family "Bacterial small subunit ribosomal RNA", at positions 524 to 776 of the family's 1533-position model. The record is from RNAcentral.
UACGUAGGGUGCGAGCGUUGUCCGGAAUUAUUGGGCGUAAAGAGCGCGCAGGCGGUCGUCCAAGUCGCGUGUGAAAGCCCCCGGCUCAACUGGGGAGGGUCACGCGAUACUGGUCGACCCGAAGGCAGGAGAGGGUAGUGGAAUUCCCGGUGUAGUGGUGAAAUGCGUAGAGAUCGGCAGGAACACCCAGGGGGAAACCAGCCGACUGGGCAUCUGCUGACGCUGAGGUGCGAGAGCGUGGGGAGCGAACCGG